This is a long non-coding RNA of Mytilus trossulus (common blue mussel), 219 nucleotides long. RefSeq lists it as uncharacterized. NCBI's taxonomy places the organism in Eukaryota, Metazoa, Mollusca, Bivalvia, Mytilida, Mytilidae. The record is from RefSeq and is a predicted model, not a curated record. The transcript has 3 exons.
UCAAUUGCUUUUUGUAUUUCGAUCUGGUCUCAGGAGAAUUCGAAAACAAACAUGAGUUGUUGAUAUUGAAUGUGACGCAAACAACAAAGUUAUAUCUUACUUCAUGGAAAAGAGUUUUCUUUGAAAUGAUAGAAAUUGGAGGCAUUUACCCCUUACUCAACGACAGAAACUUUAAAUGUUUUGAUAAUUCUACUGAGACUACCACUGAACUAGUACCAA